This 253-nucleotide ribosomal RNA is filed under the name uncultured bacterium. RNAcentral's name for it is "partial 16S ribosomal RNA". It matches the Rfam family "Bacterial small subunit ribosomal RNA", at positions 524 to 776 of the family's 1533-position model. The record is from RNAcentral.
UACGUAGGGGGCAAGCGUUGUCCGGAUUUACUGGGCGUAAAGCGCCUGUAGGCGGCCUGUCAAGUCCGGCCUGAAAGCCCCCCGCUCAACGGGGGAGGGUGGCUGGAAACUGGCAGGCUUGAGGGCGAGAGAGGAGAGUGGAAUUCCUGGUGUAGCGGUGAAAUGCGUAGAUAUCAGGAGGAACACCGGUGGCGAAGGCGGCUCUUUGGACGGUGACUGACGCUGAGACGCGAAAGCGUGGGGAGCAAACAGG